Molecule: ribosomal RNA, 527 nt
Filed under: uncultured bacterium
Lineage: Bacteria
Description: bacterial SSU rRNA
Rfam family: Bacterial small subunit ribosomal RNA
Source: RNAcentral
UGGGGAAUCUUGCACAAUGGGCGAAAGCCUGAUGCAGCAACGCCGCGUGCGGGAAGAAGGCCCUAGGGUUGUAAACCGCUUUCAGUAGGGAAGAAAAUGACGGUACCUACAGAAGAAGGUGCGGCCAACUACGUGCCAGCAGCCGCGGUGACACGUAGGCACCAAGCGUUAUCCGGAUUUAUUGGGCGUAAAGAGCUCGUAGGCGGUUCGGUAAGUCGGGUGUGAAAACUCUGGGCUCAACCCAGAGAGGCCACUCGAUACUGCUGUGACUAGAGUGCGGUAGGGGAGCGGGGAAUUCAUGGUGUAGCGGUGAAAUGCGCAGAUAUCAUGAGGAACACCAGCGGCGAAGGCGCCGCUCUGGGCCGUAACUGACGCUGAGGAGCGAAAGCAUGGGUAGCAAACAGGAUUAGAUACCCUGGUAGUCCAUGCCGUAAACGUUGGGCACUAGGUGUGGGUCUCAACCAACGAGAUCCGCACCGUCGCUAACGCAUUAAGUGCCCCGCCUGGGGAGUACGGUCGCAAGACUA